Molecule: ribosomal RNA, 512 nt
Filed under: bacterium symbiont of Megymenum gracilicorne
Lineage: Bacteria
Description: bacterial SSU rRNA
Rfam family: Bacterial small subunit ribosomal RNA
Source: RNAcentral
GGAGAGGGCUAGCGUUAUUCGGAAUUAUUGGGCGUAAAGGGCGCGUAGGCGGAUUAGUAAGUUAAAAGUGAAAUCCCAAGGCUCAACCUUGGAAUUGCUUUUAAAACUGCUAAUCUAGAGAUUGAAAGAGGAUAGAGGAAUUCCUAGUGUAGAGGUGAAAUUCGUAAAUAUUAGGAGGAACACCAGUGGCGAAGGCGUCUAUCUGGUUCAAAUCUGACGCUGAGGCGCGAAGGCGUGGGGAGCAAACAGGAUUAGAUACCCUGGUAGUCCACGCUGUAAACGAUGAAUGUUAAAUAUGGGGAGUUUACUUUCUGUAUUACAGCUAACGCGUUAAACAUUCCGCCUGGGGACUACGGUCGCAAGAUUAAAACUCAAAGGAAUUGACGGGGACCCGCACAAGCGGUGGAGCAUGUGGUUUAAUUCGAUGCAACGCGAAGAACCUUACCUACUCUUGACAUCCAGAGAACUUAGCAGAGAUGCUUUGGUGCCUUCGGGAACUCUGAGACAGGUGC